UAGGAGCCUGGUAGCAAAGUCUGUGCAC
This 28-nucleotide non-coding RNA is filed under the name Mus musculus (house mouse). Lineage: Eukaryota; Metazoa; Chordata; Mammalia; Rodentia; Muridae. The record is from RNAcentral.